CAUUAGCUAGUUGGUGAGGUAACGGCUCACCAAGGCGACGAUGCGUAGCCGACCUGAGAGGGUGAUCGGCCACACUGGGACUGAGACACGGCCCAGACUCCUACGGGAGGCAGCAGUAGGGAAUCUUCCGCAAUGGACGAAAGUCUGACGGAGCAACGCCGCGUGAGUGAUGAAGGUUUUCGGAUCGUAAAGCUCUGUUGUUAGGGAAGAACAAGUGCAAGAGUAACUGCUUGCACCUUGACGGUACCUAACCAGAAAGCCACGGCUAACUACGUGCCAGCAGCCGCGGUAAUACGUAGGUGGCAAGCGUUGUCCGGAAUUAUUGGGCGUAAAGGGCUCGCAGGCGGUUUCUUAAGUCUGAUGUGAAAGCCCCCGGCUCAACCGGGGAGGGUCAUUGGAAACUGGGAAACUUGAGUGCAGAAGAGGAGAGUGGAAUUCCACGUGUAGCGGUGAAAUGCGUAGAGAUGUGGAGGAACACCAGUGGCGAAGGCGACUCUCUGGUCUGUAACUGACGCUGAGGAGCGAAAGCGUGGGGAGCGAACAGGAUUAGAUACCCUGGUAGUCCACGCCGUAAACGAUGAGUGCUAAGUGUUAGGGGGUUUCCGCCCCUUAGUGCUGCAGCUAACGCAUUAAGCACUCCGCCUGGGGAGUACGGUCGCAAGACUGAAACUCAAAGGAAUUGACGGGGGCCCGCACAAGCGGUGGAGCAUGUGGUUUAAUUCGAAGCAACGCGAAGAACCUUACCAGGUCUUGACAUCCUCUGACAACCCUAGAGAUAGGGCUUUCCCUUCGGGGACAGAGUGACAGGUGGUGCAUGGUUGUCGUCAGCUCGUGUCGUGAGAUGUUGGGUUAAGUCCCGCAACGAGCGCAACCCUUGAUCUUAGUUGCCAGCAUUCAGUUGGGCACUCUAAGGUGACUGCCGGUGACAAACCGGAGGAAGGUGGGGAUGACGUCAAAUCAUCAUGCCCCUUAUGACCUGGGCUACACACGUGCUACAAUGGACAGAACAAAGGGCUGCGAGACCGCAAGGUUUAGCCAAUCCCACAAAUCUGUUCUCAGUUCGGAUCGCAGUCUGCAACUCGACUGCGUGAAGCUGGAAUCGCUAGUAAUCGCGG
This 1115-nucleotide ribosomal RNA is filed under the name Bacillus altitudinis. Its description in RNAcentral is "bacterial SSU rRNA". It matches the Rfam family "Bacterial small subunit ribosomal RNA", at positions 239 to 1347 of the family's 1533-position model. The record is from RNAcentral. Lineage: Bacteria; Bacillati; Bacillota; Bacilli; Caryophanales; Bacillaceae.